Molecule: long non-coding RNA, 1449 nt
Filed under: Salvator merianae (Argentine black and white tegu)
Lineage: Eukaryota; Metazoa; Chordata; Lepidosauria; Squamata; Teiidae
Description: lncRNA (ENSSMRG00000004845.1)
Source: RNAcentral
CAAUGGCAAGCAAAAAGGCGUAAGAAAUAAAGCGUAAACGGCACUCACGGUAUUCGGUAUCUCUCCCAGAAGAGCGAGAAGUGGAAAAAUAUCCAGAAUGGAAUUCCGAAGGGGGAAAAGGGGGGACGUUGGGGGGAGAAGGGAAAAAGGAAAAAAAAAAAAAAAAAGGAAGAAAAAGGGGGGAAAGGGAAAAAAAGAAAAAAAAAAAAACAGAAAAGCCCACGGAGGGCAAAACUACAUCAUUUCGGCAACCAAUCCAAUUUGACUGGAGGAAAAAGGGAAAGGAAAUUAAAUAUCCAUCCGCAAUUUUCCAUGUAGUUCAGUCCCAACGGGCUCCGAUCCAAUCCGCCCCAGUCCGGCCGACUCCCCUCCGCCGUCCUUUACAUGGUACCGCCGCUCGCUCUCCCUUCUCCUCCGUCUUCCCCCACCCGCCGUCGCUCUCAAAGGACGUGGCUGCUUCCUUCCAAUGUCCCUGGAUGGAUCGCUCAACUUCGUGCUUCCUUGGGGACCGGAGGAGGAGCGGGCCGGAGGGUCUCGCCGCUCUGCUUGGAAGAAGGCAGCAAGAGGACGCGGCCGAAAAGGAUGACUCCCGCCGAAGGCGAAGGGAGAGCGUCUUGCGCCUUUGAGAAACUUUUCAUUCCAGCCUGGAUUCUUCGCAGGCGCCUCUGCUCUGCUCCCCCCCGCCUCUCCCCUUUCCAACGUUUAACCACUCUUGAAUCCUUCCCAGAAGAAGAGAAGCUUUCUCCUUCGGAUGUGUUUUUCAGAGCCUGCAAUCCCUAGAAGAAAUGAUUAUACAGUCAGCAAAGCCUCUGGAAGACAUGGACACAUGAAGAGGAGUUGGUAGAAAAGAUAACCUGCAACUCAGAUUACAACCAAUACGGUAGAUCAACUUAAUUCUUUAAAUAGAAAGUUGAAAUGCAGUAUUUGGGAACUGUUCUGACUCUGGGCUUGACAGACUCUGAGAGGAGCUUGACAGGGGUACUGAAGCUCCUCCACACACAUUGGGACAGUACUGAAGCCCCUACAUGCACCCUCAAGCCACCUAAGGGGGGAAGGCUGCUGCAGAGAUGGACAGACUUCAGUGCCCUUCCAGUGUGCUUUGAAUCCAGUGUGAUCUGAACCCAGCUUCAGUAGGUUUUUUGACUGGCUUCUGGCUAACAUAGGAACAAUGAAGCUGGAAUGUAUAUUUUGCACUGAUGGACAAUCAGACAUGGAACCUCGCCCCCAUAACAUCAUUUUUUUGAAUUUUUAUAGGAAUCACAAUGAAACAGAAGCAAGACAGAUGAAGUUGAGAACUGUAUGACAUAAUGGUAGUGAGAGCGCAUGAGACCAAGUUUCCACUUAAUGUUAACUGCAGCCAAAAUGUUAUUAGCAGCUAAAUGACACACCCAUCUAUUUCCUACAUAGCAAGGACAGAUUAAUAAAGUAUGGGAUGUUGCCUCGAUAUCA